GACAUACUCCCUCCGUUCGAAACUACUUGUCUCGAAAAUGGAUGUAUCUAAAACUAAAAUACAUCUAGAUACAUCCAUUUCUGCGACAAGUAAUUCGGAACGGAGGGAGUACUAC
This is a non-coding RNA of Triticum urartu, 115 nucleotides long. NCBI's taxonomy places the organism in Eukaryota, Viridiplantae, Streptophyta, Magnoliopsida, Poales, Poaceae. The record is from Rfam.